UUGCAUGCAAUAUUUUUUUUAAAAAAAAAGGUUAGCACCCAUUAGAUUUUUAAUUACAAUCAGAUUGAAAAAUACGCCUUAGAUUGUUGGGAAAAUACCACAUCAAAAAUCUAAUUGUGAUUAAAAUCUAAUAAGUUUUGUGAUGAAAAUAAAUAAAUAAACUUACAGAUAAAUACAAAUAUCCCAAUAAAAAUUUGAUCUUAUCCGGAAGCGUGCGAGGCAGUGCCUUAAGGUGUAUUCCCGUCCUUACGUGUGAGAUUAACCAGAAAUAACACCCCAAGGUACAACCGGAAUUCCUCCUCCUCCAAGUACAAUCGUAAAGAAGGUUGAUGGAGAUUCUUUCAACACCCAGUGGAUAAAGGGAAUAUUCAAAAAAGAAAAAUGAAAUAAUAAAAUUAAUAAAGAUUAAUCAAUUAUCUAAUAUCUUUUCUAGCCCUUCCAACCUUGUUUGAAUGCUAAAUGGAACUUGUCCAACUAUUUCUUUCGCAUUGUUCACUUUUAACUCGCGCCGAGUAAUGCUAAAACUUGCUUAACACUCUCAGAACUCGACUUUGACCCUUCCAACAUUAUUGGAAUGUCAACCGGACUUUGUCCAUCCAUUUCUCUCGGCGCUUUAACCAAUUUGGCUAAAGUUCGAUAAUCGCUAUCAUGUGGUCGCCCUCGGCAAACUCCCGA
This 675-nucleotide long non-coding RNA is filed under the name Ananas comosus (pineapple). RNAcentral describes it as "long non-coding RNA (ACOM_LNC032607)". The record is from RNAcentral. Lineage: Eukaryota; Viridiplantae; Streptophyta; Magnoliopsida; Poales; Bromeliaceae.